AACGUAGGAGGCGAGCGUUAUCCGGAUUUACUGGGCGUAAAGCGCGUGUAGGCGGAUUGGUAAGUUAGCUGUGAAAGCUCCUGGCUUAACUGGGAGAGGUCGGUUAAUACUGCUAAUCUAGAGUAUGUGAGAGGGAGGUGGAAUUCCGGGUGUAGUGGUGAAAUGCGUAGAUAUCCGGAGGAACACCAGAGGCGAAAGCGGCCUCCUGGCACAUGACUGACGCUCAGACGCGAAAGCUAGGGUAGCAAACGGGAUUAGAGACCCCGGUAGUCCUAGCUGUAAACGAUGUAGACUUGGCGUUGGUGGGGUCAAACCCAUCAGUGCCGGAGCUAACGCAUUAAGUCUACCGCCUGGGGACUACGGCCGCAAGGUUAAA
This 376-nucleotide ribosomal RNA is filed under the name uncultured bacterium. Its description in RNAcentral is "bacterial SSU rRNA". It matches the Rfam family "Bacterial small subunit ribosomal RNA", at positions 524 to 898 of the family's 1533-position model. The record is from RNAcentral.